RNAcentral lists this transfer RNA (71 nucleotides) under Ictidomys tridecemlineatus (thirteen-lined ground squirrel). RNAcentral describes it as "Spermophilus tridecemlineatus (thirteen-lined ground squirrel) tRNA". It matches the Rfam family "tRNA". From Rfam's summary of the family: Transfer RNA (tRNA) molecules are approximately 80 nucleotides in length. Their secondary structure includes four short double-helical elements and three loops (D, anti-codon, and T loops). Lineage: Eukaryota; Metazoa; Chordata; Mammalia; Rodentia; Sciuridae. The record is from Rfam by way of RNAcentral.
GGGGUUGUGGCUCAGCGGUAGAGCAGUUGCCUAGCACAUAUGAGACCCUGGGUUCGAUCCUCAGGACCCCA